AGAGUCUCCUCGCGAUGAGUUCCCGCGCUUGUAAAUUAAUGUCAAGGCUCACAAGCCUCCUGUCAUGUGUUCCUGCGUCCUUUAAUAUUCAAGGCUCACAAGCCUCUUGUCAUGAACGAAAUUGAAUAAUGUUAGAAAACUUAAAUAAUGUCUUAAUUGUGACAUUUACAGGAUGCGGGAACACAUCAUGACAAGAGGCUUGUGAGCCUUGAAUAUUAAAGGACGCAGGAACACAUGACAGGAGGCUUGUGAGCCUUGACAUUAAUUUACAAGCGCGGGAACUCAUCGCGAGGAGACUCUGGCCAGCUGUGGUUACAGCGACACACGGCGGCAUCCUAAUGCUGCUGCUGCUGCUGCUGCUGAUCCUCCUCCUCCAUUCUGCCCAAGCGGUUCCCGCAACACACGUCAUCGCUAUUUUCACCUUCAAUUUUUAACUAAAUAAAGCAAAAAACAGCAUAUG
Portunus trituberculatus (swimming crab) is the source of this 460-nucleotide long non-coding RNA. RefSeq lists it as uncharacterized. The transcript is spliced from 2 exons. The record is from RefSeq and is a predicted model, not a curated record. Lineage: Eukaryota; Metazoa; Arthropoda; Malacostraca; Decapoda; Portunidae.